AGCAGUCGCCGCGGUAAUACGUAGGUGGCAAGCGUUGUCCGGAAUUAUUGGGCGUAAAGGGCUCGCAGGCGGUUUCUUAAGUCUGAUGUGAAAGCCCCCGGCUCAACCGGGGAGGGUCAUUGGAAACUGGGGAACUUGAGUGCAGAAGAGGAGAGUGGAAUUCCACGUGUAGCGGUGAAAUGGGUAGAGAUGUGGAGGAACACCAGUGGCGAAGGCGACUCUCUGGUCUGUAACUGACGCUGAGGAGCGAAAACGUGGGGAGCGAAUAGGACUAGAUACCCGGGUAGUCCCUGUCUCUUAUAU
This 303-nucleotide ribosomal RNA is filed under the name uncultured bacterium. RNAcentral's name for it is "partial 16S ribosomal RNA". It matches the Rfam family "Bacterial small subunit ribosomal RNA", at positions 507 to 809 of the family's 1533-position model. The record is from RNAcentral.